RNAcentral lists this ribosomal RNA (1511 nucleotides) under Hexamatia seekhaow. RNAcentral describes it as "SSU rRNA". The stretch from base 1 to 696 matches the Rfam family "Eukaryotic small subunit ribosomal RNA", at positions 1143 to 1831 of the family's 1831-position model. The record is from RNAcentral. Lineage: Eukaryota; Metazoa; Arthropoda; Arachnida; Araneae; Hahniidae.
CUUAAAGGAAUUGACGGAAGGGCACCACCAGGAAUGGAUCAUGCGGCUUAAUUUGACUCAACACGGGGAAACUUACCCGGCCCGGACGCAGGAAGGAUUGACAGAUUAAGAGCUCUUUCUUGAUUCUGCGGGUUGUGGUGCAUGGCCGUUCUUCGAUGGUGGAGCGAUUUGUCUGGUUAAUUCCGGUAACGAUCGAGACUCUAGCCUGCUAAAUAGACGCCCCGGUCCUACACGCCGGGCGGUCUUCUUAGAGGGACAAGCGGCGUUUAGCCGCGCGAGACGGAGCAAUAACAGGUCUGUGAUGCCCUUAGAUGUCCGGGGCCGCACGCGCGCUACAUUGAAGGGGUCAGCGUGUGCUUUCCCGGCCUGACAAGGCUGGGUAACCCGUUGAACCUCCUUCGUGCUUGGGAUCGGCGUUUGUAACUGUCCGCCGUGAACGAGGAAUUCCUAGUAAGCGCUGAGUCAUCAGCUCGCGCUGAUUAAGUCCCUGCCCUUUGUUCACACCGCCCGUCGCUACUACCGAUGAAUGAUUUAGUGAGGUCUUCAGACUGGCGCCCGAUGUGGUCUUAGGAUCGUGUCGGCGUGCCGGAAAGAUGUCCAAACUUGACCAUCUAGAGGAAGUAAAAGUCGUAACAAGGUUGCCCAUGCAUGUCUAAGUACAUGCCGUAUAAAGGCGAAACCGCGAAUGGCUCAUUAAAUCAGUUAUGGUUCCUUGGAUCGUACCUUACUACUUGGAUAACUGUGGCAAUUCUAGAGCUAAUACAUGCAGCAGAGCUCCGACCUUCGGGGACGAGCGCUUUUAUUAGAACAAAACCCAUCGGACCUCGUGUCCGUCUCUUGUGGUGACUCUGUAUAACUUUGGGCUGAUCGCACGGGCCUGUCCCGGCGACGUAUCCUUCAAGUAUCUGCCUUAUCAACUUUCGAUGGUAGGUUACGCGCCUACCAUGGUCGUAACGGGUAACGGGGAAUCAGGGUUCGAUUCCGGAGAGGGAGCCUGAGAAACGGCUACCACAUCCAAGGAAGGCAGCAGGCGCGCAAAUUACCCAAUCCCAGAACGGGGAGGUAGUGACGAAAAAUAACAAUACGGGACUCUUUUGAGACCCCGUAAUUGGAAUGAGUACACACUAAAUCCUUUAACGAUUAUCCAUUAGAGCAAGAGUCUGGUGCCAGCACGCGCGGUAAUUCCAGCUCUAAUAGCGUAUAUUAAAGUUGUUGCGGUUAAAAAGCUCGUAGUUGGAUCUCAGUUCCAGACGGGUGGUCCGCCUACCGGUGGUUACUGCCUGUUCUGAACAGCCAGCCGGUUUCUCUUGAUGAUCUUCACCGGUUGUCUUGAGUGACCGGCAAGUUUACUUUGAAAAAAUUAGAGUGCUCAAGGCAGGCGUGACGCCUGAAUAAUGGUGCAUGGAAUAAUGGAAUAGGACCUCGGUUCUAUUUUGUUGGUUUUCGGAACACGAGGUAAUGAUUAAGAGGGACAGACGGGGGCAUUCGUAUGCGACGCUAGAGUGAAAUUC